This 435-nucleotide ribosomal RNA is filed under the name uncultured bacterium. RNAcentral describes it as "partial 16S ribosomal RNA". It matches the Rfam family "Bacterial small subunit ribosomal RNA", at positions 29 to 507 of the family's 1533-position model. The record is from RNAcentral.
AACGAACGCUGGCGGCAUGCCUAACACAUGCAAGUCGAACGAUUGCCUUCGGGUGAUAGUGGCGCACGGGUGCGUAACGCGUGGGAAUCUGCCCUUAGGUUCGGAAUAACAGCUGGAAACGGCUGCUAAUACCGGGUGAUAUCGCGAGAUCAAAGAUUUAUCGCCUGAGGAUGAGCCCGCGUUGGAUUAGGUAGGUGGUGGGGUAAAGGCCUACCAAGCCGACGAUCCAUAGCUGGGCUGAGAAGAUGAUCAGCCACACUGGGACUGAGACACGGCCCAGACUCCUACGGGAGGCAGCAGUGGGGAAUAUUGGACAAUGGGCGCAAGCCUGAUCCAGCAAUGCCGCGUGAGUGAUGAAGGCCCUAGGGUUGUAAAGCUCUUUUACCCGGGAAGAUAAUGACGGUACCGGGAGAAUAAGCCCCGGCUAACUCCGUG